AACGUGCCCAAGAGUGGGGGAUAACGUAGCGAAAGUUACGCUAAUACCGCAUACGAUCUAUGGAUGAAAGCAGGGGACCGCAAGGCCUUGUGCUCCUGGAGCGGCCGAUAUCUGAUUAGCUAGUUGGUGAGGUAAAGGCUCACCAAGGCGACGAUCAGUAGCUGGUCUGAGAGGACGACCAGCCACACUGGAACUGAGACACGGUCCAGACUCCUACGGGAGGCAGCAGUGGGGAAUUUUGGACAAUGGGGGCAACCCUGAUCCAGCAAUGCCGCGUGAGUGAAGAAGGCCUUCGGGUUGUAAAGCUCUUUUGUCAGGGAAGAAAAGGGUACGGCUAAUAUCCGUACCUCAUGACGGUACCUGAAGAAUAAGCACCGGCUAACUACGUGCCAGCAGCCGCGGUAAUACGUAGGGUGCAAGCGUUAAUCGGAAUUACUGGGCGUAAAGCGUGCGCAGGCGGUUUUGUAAGUCUGACGUGAAAUCCCCGGGCUUAACCUGGGAAUGGCGUUGGAGACUGCAAGGCUGGAAUCUGGCAGAGGGGGGUAGAAUUCCACGUGUAGCAGUGAAAUGCGUAGAGAUGUGGAGGAACACCGAUGGCGAAGGCAGCCCCCUGGGCUAAGAUUGACGCUCAUGCACGAAAGCGUGGGGAGCAAACAGGAUUAGAUACCCUGGUAGUCCACGCCCUAAACGAUGUCUACUAGUUGUUGGGUCUUAAUUGACUUAGUAACGCAGCUAACGCGUGAAGUAGACCGCCUGGGGAGUACGGUCGCAAGAUUAAAACUCAAAGGAAUUGACGGGGACCCGCACAAGCGGUGGAUGAUGUGGAUUAAUUCGAUGCAACGCGAAAAACCUUACCUACCCUUGACAUGUCAGGAACCUCCGAGAGAUUGGAGGGUGCCCGAAAGGGAGCCUGAACACAGGUGCUGCAUGGCUGUCGUCAGCUCGUGUCGUGAGAUGUUGGGUUAAGUCCCGCAACGAGCGCAACCCUUGUCAUUAGUUGCUACGAAAGGGCACUCUAAUGAGACUGCCGGUGACAAACCGGAGGAAGGUGGGGAUGACGUCAAGUCCUCAUGGCCCUUAUGGGUAGGGCUUCACACGUCAUACAAUGGUACAUACAGAGGGCCGCCAACCCGCGAGGGGGAGCUAAUCCCAGAAAGUGUAUCGUAGUCCGGAUUGUAGUCUGCAACUC
RNAcentral lists this ribosomal RNA (1189 nucleotides) under Pseudoduganella flava. Its description in RNAcentral is "bacterial SSU rRNA". It matches the Rfam family "Bacterial small subunit ribosomal RNA", at positions 123 to 1313 of the family's 1533-position model. The record is from RNAcentral. Lineage: Bacteria; Pseudomonadati; Pseudomonadota; Betaproteobacteria; Burkholderiales; Oxalobacteraceae.